RNAcentral lists this ribosomal RNA (520 nucleotides) under uncultured Glomus. RNAcentral describes it as "SSU rRNA". It matches the Rfam family "Eukaryotic small subunit ribosomal RNA", at positions 569 to 1092 of the family's 1831-position model. Lineage: Eukaryota; Fungi; Glomeromycota; Glomeromycetes; Glomerales; Glomeraceae. The record is from RNAcentral.
AGCAGCCGCGGUAAUUCCAGCUCCAAUAGCGUAUAUUAAAGUUGUUGCAGUUAAAAAGCUCGUAGUUGAAUUUCGGGAUCGAAUUGUUGGUCGUGCUUCGGUACGUACUGGCAUUAUUGGUUCCUACCUUCUGAAGAACCGCGAUGUCAUUAAUUUGGUGUCGUGGGGAAUCAGGACUGUUACUUUGAAAAAAUUAGAGUGUUUAAAGCAGGCUUACGCUUGAAUACAUUAGCAUGGAAUAAUGAAAUAGGACGUUUGAUUCUAUUUUGUUGGUUUCUAGGAUCGACGUAAUGAUUAAUAGGGAUAGUUGGGGGCAUUAGUAUUCAAUUGUCAGAGGUGAAAUUCUUGGAUUUAUUGAAGACUAACUACUGCGAAAGCAUUUGCCAAGGAUGUUUUCAUUAAUCAAGAACGAAAGUUAGGGGAUCGAAGACGAUCAGAUACCGUCGUAGUCUUAACCAUAAACUAUGCCGACUAGGGAUCGGAUGAUGUUAAUUUUUAAUGACUCAUUCGGCGCCUUACG